RNAcentral lists this ribosomal RNA (253 nucleotides) under uncultured prokaryote. Its description in RNAcentral is "partial 16S ribosomal RNA". It matches the Rfam family "Bacterial small subunit ribosomal RNA", at positions 524 to 776 of the family's 1533-position model. The record is from RNAcentral.
UACAGGGGGGGCAAGCGUUGUUCGGAAUUACUGGGCGUAAAGGGCUCGUAGGCGGCCGGCUAAGUCCGACGUGAAAUCCCCAAGCUUAACUUGGGAACUGUGUCGGAUACUGGCGGGCUUGAAUCCGGGAGAGGGAUGCGGAAGUCCAGGUGUAGCGGUGAAAUGCGUAGAUAUCUGGAGGAACACCGGUGGCGAAGGCGGCAUCCUGGACCGGCAUUGACGCUGAUGAGCGAAAGCUAGGGGAGCAAACGGG